This 84-nucleotide transfer RNA is filed under the name Oceanibaculum indicum. RNAcentral describes it as "tRNA-Leu". It matches the Rfam family "tRNA". From Rfam's summary of the family: Transfer RNA (tRNA) molecules are approximately 80 nucleotides in length. Their secondary structure includes four short double-helical elements and three loops (D, anti-codon, and T loops). The record is from RNAcentral. Lineage: Bacteria; Pseudomonadati; Pseudomonadota; Alphaproteobacteria; Rhodospirillales; Oceanibaculaceae. RNAcentral also lists the same sequence under 1 other name.
GCCCGCUUGGCGGAAUCGGUAGACGCAGCAGACUUAAAAUCUGUUUUCCUCCGGGAAGUGCCGGUUCGAGUCCGGCAGCGGGCA